UCUUGGUCAUUUAGAGGAAGUAAAAGUCGUAACAAGGUCUCCGUAGGUGAACCUGCGGAGGGAUCNUUACACAAAUAUGAAGGCGGGCUGGAACCUCUCGGGGGUUACAGCCUUGCUGAAUUAUUCNCCCUUGUCUUUUGCGUACUUCUUGUUUCCUUGGUGGGUUCGCCCACCNNUAGGACAAACAUAAACCUUUUGUAAUUGCAAUCAGCGUCAGUANCAAAUUAAUAAUUACAACUUUCAACAACGGAUCUCUUGGUUCUGGCAUCGAUGAAGAACGCAGCGAAAUGCGAUAAGUAGUGUGAAUUGCAGAAUUCAGUGAAUCAUCGAAUCUUUGAACGCACAUUGCGCCCUUUGGUAUUCCAAAGGGCAUGCCUGUUCGAGCGUCAUUUGUACCCUCAAGCUUUGCUUGGUGUUGGGCGUCUUGUCUCUAGCUUUGCUGNAGACUCGCNUUAAANUAGAUUGGCAGCCGGCCUAGCUGGUUUCGGAGCGCAGCACAAGNCGCACUCUCUAUCAGCNAAGGUGUAGCAUCCANUAAGCCU
RNAcentral lists this ribosomal RNA (542 nucleotides) under Alternaria sp. JJP-2009a. Its description in RNAcentral is "eukaryotic LSU rRNA". The stretch from base 236 to 389 matches the Rfam family "5.8S ribosomal RNA". The record is from RNAcentral. Lineage: Eukaryota; Fungi; Ascomycota; Dothideomycetes; Pleosporales; Pleosporaceae.